GAGAGUUUGUUUAUUUACCGGUGGCAUGAUAAAUUUAUCGGUAAGUAAACAGAUUGCCGGCAGGGUACAAUAGGCGAGAAGUGGUAAAGAUGUGAAGGGGUAGAUGGUUGUGUUGACAUAUGCGAAUCGUUCAAGCCAUUUUAGCUUUCCUCCCUUGAAACCAUACCAUGCAGGGCAAUGAUGACUAAAGAAAAUUUCAACAGAACCGAGUGCCCAUCGAAGGACUUGGUUUAGUCGAUCCGAUAGAUUGAUGGGAGCUGAACCCUUGAAUGC
Molecule: long non-coding RNA, 273 nt
Filed under: Gossypium barbadense (sea-island cotton)
Lineage: Eukaryota; Viridiplantae; Streptophyta; Magnoliopsida; Malvales; Malvaceae
Description: long non-coding RNA (GBAR_LNC015899)
Source: RNAcentral